GCCAAAGAUUGCCCACCACACCCCCCUCCCUUUUCCCUUCUAUUCAGCGCCCUUGCAGAGUUGGCUGGCUGUCGUCCCAAGCUGUCUCCAGUCUGUUUUGGAGGGCUGGUCACCUUAAGAGAAGGAAUAUGCAUAGUUGGUCUAGCUGUAAAGUAGGAUCUGAGGAGUCACCCCUCAUGAUAAAGGCACUGGCCUAUACUAUCCUUUACCUCUUUGCACACAAUACUGUAUGCCAGAAUUGCCUAAUCCUCACAGCUUCCAACUACACGGUAACAUUUAUCUAGAGGCCUUAACUUAGAAAACUAACCAUAACAAACGUUCCUCUAACAUUUUACAGUGUGCAAGCCACAUUCACACACAGUGUCUCGUAGGGUCCCCACAAAGCUCUGUGAGCGAGGACUUAUCCCACUUUGUUUUUCUUAGUAUUUUUUUUAUUAUUGUGAAAUACAUCUUAACAUACAAAAGAAUGAUUAAGACAUGUAUGUACACUUUCAGUGGUAUCAAAACGGAGCACUCCUGUGUGAGUACCCAACUUUGAGAUCCCUUGGGCACCUGUCCCUAAUUCAGAUUCCCAAGAGAUAACCACUUGGCUGAGUUUUGUUUACACCAUUCUUUUGCUUUCCUGUGGUUUUACUACCUAUGUACGUAUCCCCCCAAAAUAUACUAACCAAGGGUUUAUUUUUACUACAAAUCCAGUGAUUAAGUAACAAGUUUGUAACAACUUUACAAAGGUAACCCAGUGACUUGCCUGCAUUUGUUAUUGUUAUCAUGUUCGUUUUGUAUAUUAGCUAAUGUAAGGGAUAGCAAGGAGAUAAGUAAGUUAUUAUAGGGGGAAGAAUCAUAAAGAGUGUGACUAUUGGGGCAGUACAAGAGUGAUCAGGUUAAGAUGGGGCUUUACCUAUGUUUAGAGGAAGGGGACAGGAUUCUAUGAGGACCACGGGCUUCUGAGAGGAAGGCUGUUGAAAAGUGGAGGGAGGAGUAUACUGAAAGCCAGGAUGGAACAGCGAUCCUGUUACUAGAAUAGCUUCACAUCAGCACUAGAAACCUCACUGGGGGACUGUCCAAAAGGUGGAUUCUUUUGCCCUCCGUCCCCUUUCCAGUCCACUGUGCCCAGCCACCCUGUGCCCUGUCCUCAGAGUGUCCGUCAGCCUGUAUGACUCACCUGGCUGCGUGUGUGGUGACUCAUGCUGGACUGUGAUGGGAACUGACACUCUGGGCCCUUUGCCCAGCCUCAGAUUCCCUCAGGGCCCCUAACUGCCGGAAGGAAGGUUCCCCUUUUGGCUAUUAAGAAUAGCGAGGGAAAGAAAGAAAGAAAAAAAAGAAUAAGGAGGGAAGGAUAGUCCUUACUCAAGGCACCUGCAGCUGACAGGGCAGGAGUUGGAGCUUCAAGGGGCCCAAGAGCAGAUAUGCAGCUGACUUGGGGGCUUGUCUGUCAGUGCGACAGCCCUGUGGCUCCAUACCCGCCGUCUUUCUGAGGCAGUGCCAACAGCUCAGCCCCGAAGCAACCACUGGGUAGCACUUUUCUCGGCUUUUCCAGACCUUUCAGGCGUCUCUUCCUGCUGCUCAGUGUAAAUUGCUCACCGAGUUGUCUUUAGAUCCCAGCACAGUGGUUCCUAAAGGUCCAUGGGGUAGCUCAUCACAUUAGAAAACAGCAGAGAUUUCAGACUUGGAGUUGGAAGACCGUGAUUUGAAUCUUAGAGCCAUAGCAGUUAGUAGUAGCUGCACGAACAAGUCUUUGAGCCUCAGUUUCCUCAUUUAGAACUUGAGUUUACUUAUAUGACUUCACAGAGUAAGUGUAGGGAUUACCUCUGAGAAGAGGCUUUAGAGACUUAAAACUGUUAGUAAUCUUCAAGGCUCGAGGGGUUGGCCUGGAGUGUUCUAUGAGUGUUGGCAACCCAGGCACAGCAAGUUAGUCUUUUUAAAAAAAUACAUGUUUUUCUUCAUUUCAGAGAGGAACAGAGAAGGAGGGAGGGAG
Pipistrellus kuhlii (Kuhl's pipistrelle) is the source of this 1975-nucleotide long non-coding RNA. RefSeq lists it as uncharacterized. The record is from RefSeq and is a predicted model, not a curated record. The transcript has 2 exons. NCBI's taxonomy places the organism in Eukaryota, Metazoa, Chordata, Mammalia, Chiroptera, Vespertilionidae.